GCGUAGAGAUCUGGAGGACUACCGGUGGCGAAGGCGGCCUCCUGUACAUAGACUGACGCUCAGGUGCGAAAGCGUGGGGAGCAAACCAGGAUUAGAUACCUUGGUAGUCCACGCGGUAAACGAUGUCGACUUGGAGGUUGUGCCCUUGAGGCGUGGCUUCCGGAGCUAACGCGUUAAGUCGUCCGCCUGGGGAGUACGGCCGCAAGGUUAAAACUCAAAUGAAUUGACGGGGGCCCGCACAAGCGGUGGAGCAUGUGGUUUAAUUCGAUGCAACGCGAAGAACCUUACCUACUCUUGACAUCCAGAGAACUUUCCAGAGAUGGAUUGGUGCCUUCGGGAACUCUGAGACAGGUGGUGCAUGGCUGUCGUCAGCUCGUGUUGUGAAAUGUUGGGUUAAGUCCCGCAACGAGCGCAACCCUUAUCUUUUGUUGCCAGCGGUUAGGCCGGGAACUCAAAGGAGACUGCCAGUGAUAAACUGGAGGAAGGUGGGGAUGACGUCAAGUCAUCAUGGCCCUUACGAGUAGGGCUACACACGUGUUACAAUGGCGCAUACAAAGAGAAGCGACCUCGCGAGAGCAAGCGGACCUCAUAAACUGCGUCGUAGUCCGGAUUGGAGUCUGCAACUGGACUCCAUGAAGUCGGAAUCGCUAGUAAUCGUGGAUCAGAAUGCCACGGUGAAUACGUUCCCGGCCCUUGUACACACCGCCCGUCACACCAUGGGAGUGGGUCCAAAAGAAGUAGGUAGGUUAACC
This 752-nucleotide ribosomal RNA is filed under the name Enterobacter sp. Its description in RNAcentral is "bacterial SSU rRNA". It matches the Rfam family "Bacterial small subunit ribosomal RNA", at positions 688 to 1440 of the family's 1533-position model. The record is from RNAcentral. Lineage: Bacteria; Pseudomonadati; Pseudomonadota; Gammaproteobacteria; Enterobacterales; Enterobacteriaceae.